Molecule: ribosomal RNA, 373 nt
Filed under: uncultured organism
Description: partial 16S ribosomal RNA
Rfam family: Bacterial small subunit ribosomal RNA
Source: RNAcentral
GAGGGGGGUGCAAACGUUAUUCGGAUUUACUGGGUGUAAAGGGUGUGUAGACGGUUGUUAAGUUGUUGUUAAAUCUUCCGGCCUAACCGGGAAGCCUGCGAUGAAAACUAACAGACUUGAGGGUGAAAGAGAGAAGCGGAAUUCUCGGAGUAGCGGUAAAAUGCGUAGAUCUCGAGAGGAACACCGAUGGCGAAGGCAGCUUCUUGGUUCACUCCUGACGUUGAGACACGAAAGCGUGGGGAGCAAACAGGAUUAGAUACCCUGGUAGUCCACGCUGUAAACGAUGAUCACUGGAUGUCAGCUUUGCUUUGCAAAGUUGGUAUCGAAGCUAACGCGUUAAGUGAUCCACCUGGGAACUACGAUCGCAAGAUUA